RNAcentral lists this long non-coding RNA (1590 nucleotides) under Sus scrofa (pig). RNAcentral's name for it is "lncRNA (ENSSSCG00000057713.1)". The record is from RNAcentral. Lineage: Eukaryota; Metazoa; Chordata; Mammalia; Artiodactyla; Suidae.
ACAUUUGACGUGCAUGUGGCUGGUUGUGGUUGUUCCACUGGCCAGGGAGCACUGGUGGCAUUUGGAAGGGGAUAAUGAUAAUAAGCAUCCUACAAUGAUAUGGCUAGGAGAUUAAGUGAUAUAAAUGAAAAGUGUGUUGAAGCUGUAUUACUGAGGGCCUUGAGGUCAGAUUGAAAUGUUUGCUUAGGUAGAUAGAUGCCUGGAAGAGAGCCAUAGGAGGAAGGAUGCUAUAAGGGAAGAAACAAAGGAUGUAGACGUCGGAAGACCUGGGUUUAGAUCUAACACUUUAAAACAUGAAUAUUAAAAAUUGGAAAAUGAUUUCUCAAGUCCGACUCUUAUAGAGUCUGUCUUACUGCAAUAUCAUUCUAUAGAGUCUGUGGAUGAACUUAGUGAAGUUAGGCAGGGCUGAGGAACAGUGAGUAGGUCAUUUAAUGCAGAGGUUCUUAACCAUGAGUAGAAUUCAAGGGUUGGUGAACUUGGUUGUGAAAAAAAUACAUCUCUAUUUUCACUCACACCUAACUAAAACUUAGUAUUUCCUUCCACUAAGAAUGUAGGCAGCAAACUAUGGUAGUUCAGCCACUCCUAGGACUUUGUCACUAAUAGAAGUCAUAAAUUCUUUCAUAUCAUAGUUAAUGCACUUAUCUUGAAAUAUUUACAUUGCUUUGAAAUUGUAGUAGGACUUGCUGCUAGGGUUUAUUAGUGUGUUGAUAAAGAAGCAUGUGUAUUACUAUAUAUCACAAAUUUAAGAAUAUUUUAAUAACUAUUCCCCUUUGUAACCAUGUGCAUUUCAUUUACAUUUACAAAUAUUUUAUUGAAAACGGGUCCCUAGACUUAACAGACUUUAAAACCAAAGGAUUUUUUUUUUUUCUGCUUUUCAGGGCCACAGCUGCAGCAUUUGGAAGUUUCCAGGCUAAGGGUCAAAUUGGAGCUCAUGGCAACACCAGAUACCUAACCCACUGAGCGAGGCCGGGGAUCAAACCCACAUCCUUGUGGAUACUAGUCGGGUUUGUUACCACUGAGGCACAAUAGGAACUCCCAGACUACCAAAGGAUUUAAAAUCAGGAGGAGAGGGUAUAGAACAUGACAGAACCAGCUCCUGGAAGCAGAAAUGCAAAGCCCCCCCCCCCCCCCGCCCCACCAGAUGGAAAGAGGAAUCUCCACUGGUUGAGUGUAGAUGGGAAUUAGUAUCGUCAGGAAAAAGAAAAGUUUGAGUCAAUGAGAAGAGAUAGGGGAUUAAUAUAAAGUGCAACGUUGAUAACAGUGGCAGCAACUGCCAUGGGGGGUGGAACUUUAAUAUUUUAUGAAAAUGUGUUUCAGUUAAUUGAUACAAAAAAUCGUGGGAAAUAAUUAUUUUUUAUCAUCUUUGGAGUUCCCGUCGUGGCGCAGUGGUUAACGAAUCUGACUAGGAACAUGAGGUUGCAGGUUUGAUCCCUGGCCUUGCUCAGUGGGUUAAGGAUCCAGCAUUGCCAUGAGCCGCAGACGUGGCUCGGAUCCUGUGUUGCUGUGGCUCUGGCAUAGGCCAGCGGCUGUGGUCCAAUGCGACCCCUAGCCUGGGAACCUCCAUAUGCCGUGGGAAUGGCCCAAGAAAUG